This 909-nucleotide ribosomal RNA is filed under the name Psathyrella coprophila. RNAcentral describes it as "eukaryotic LSU rRNA". It matches the Rfam family "Eukaryotic large subunit ribosomal RNA", at positions 52 to 948 of the family's 3401-position model. Lineage: Eukaryota; Fungi; Basidiomycota; Agaricomycetes; Agaricales; Psathyrellaceae. The record is from RNAcentral.
GGAGGAAAAGAAACUAACAAGGAUUCCCCUAGUAACUGCGAGUGAAGCGGGAAAAGCUCAAAUUUAAAAUCUGGCGGUCUUUGGCCGUCCGAGUUGUAAUCUAGAGAAGUGUUAUCCGCGUUGGACCGUGUACAAGUCUCCUGGAAUGGAGCAUCAUAGAGGGUGAGAAUCCCGUCUUUGACAUGGACUACCAGUGCUUUGUGAUGCGCUCUCAAAGAGUCGAGUUGUUUGGGAAUGCAGCUCUAAAUGGGUGGUAAAUUCCAUCUAAAGCUAAAUAUUGGCGAGAGACCGAUAGCGAACAAGUACCGUGAGGGAAAGAUGAAAAGAACUUUGGAAAGAGAGUUAAACAGUACGUGAAAUUGCUGAAAGGGAAACGCUUGAAGUCAGUCACGUUGGCUAGAAAUCAACCUUGCUUUUGCUGGGCGUACUUUCUGGUCAACGGGUCAGCAUCAAUUUUGACCGUUGGAAAAAGUUCAGAGGAAUGUGGCAUCUUCGGAUGUGUUAUAGCCUCUGUUCGCAUACAACGGUUGGGAUUGAGGAUCUCAGCACGCCGCAAGGCCGGGUUUCGACCACGUUCGUGCUUAGGAUGCUGGCAUAAUGGCUUUAAUCGACCCGUCUUGAAACACGGACCAAGGAGUCUAACAUGCCUGCGAGUGUUUGGGUGGAAAACCCGAGCGCGUAAUGAAAGUGAAAGUUGAGAUCCCUGUCGUGGGGAGCAUCGACGCCCGGACCAGACCUUUUGUGACGGAUCCGCGGUAGAGCAUGUAUGUUGGGACCCGAAAGAUGGUGAACUAUGCCUGAAUAGGGUGAAGCCAGAGGAAACUCUGGUGGAGGCUCGUAGCGAUUCUGACGUGCAAAUCGAUCGUCAAAUUUGGGUAUAGGGGCGAAAGACUAAUCGAACCAUCUAGA